RNAcentral lists this ribosomal RNA (253 nucleotides) under uncultured bacterium. Its description in RNAcentral is "partial 16S ribosomal RNA". It matches the Rfam family "Bacterial small subunit ribosomal RNA", at positions 524 to 776 of the family's 1533-position model. The record is from RNAcentral.
UACGAAGGGGGCGAGCGUUGUUCGGAAUUACUGGGCGUAAAGGGUGCGUAGGCGGGUUUUUAAGUCAGAGGUGAAAUCCUGGAGCUCAACUCCAGAACUGCCUUUGAUACUGAAAAUCUUGAGUAUGGGAGAGGUGAGUGGAACUGCGAGUGUAGAGGUGAAAUUCGUAGAUAUUCGCAAGAACACCAGUGGCGAAGGCGGCUCACUGGCCCAUAACUGACGCUGAGGCACGAAAGCGUGGGGAGCAAACAGG